This 261-nucleotide long non-coding RNA is filed under the name Hordeum vulgare. Its description in RNAcentral is "long non-coding RNA (HVUL_LNC008714)". The record is from RNAcentral. Lineage: Eukaryota; Viridiplantae; Streptophyta; Magnoliopsida; Poales; Poaceae.
CACUAGAGAGGCUAGCAAUGGUGGAAGGUGAAAGUGCAUCUAUACCAUGGACCCGCAAUAGUCAUGAAGAACUCACAUACUUGUUGUGCAAGUUUUUAUUAGUAAUUGAAACAAAGUGCUAAACGCAUACUCCGAGGGGAAGGGUUGGUAGGUGUUAACCAUCGCGCGAUCCCGACCUCAACACAAAGGAUGACAAUCAAUAAAUCAAUUAUGCUCCGACUUCCUCACAUAGCGGUUCACCAUACGUGCAUGCUACGGGAA